ACAAGCCGGAGGAAGGUGGGGAGUGACGUCAAGUCAUCAUGGCCCUUAUGUCCAGGGCGACACACGUGCUACAAUGGCCGGCACAGCGGGAAGCGGAGGGGCGACCCUGAGCGGAUCCCUUGAAAGCCGGUCCCAGUUCGGAUUGCAGUCUGCAACUCGACUGCAUGAAGUUGGAAUCGCUAGUAAUCGCGGAUCAGCCAAGCCGCGGUGAAUACGUUCCCGGGCCUU
Molecule: ribosomal RNA, 228 nt
Filed under: uncultured Thermovirga sp.
Lineage: Bacteria; Thermotogati; Synergistota; Synergistia; Synergistales; Thermovirgaceae
Description: partial 16S ribosomal RNA
Rfam family: Bacterial small subunit ribosomal RNA
Source: RNAcentral